GAUGAACGCUGGCGGCGUGCCUAAUACAUGCAAGUCGAGCGAACAGACGAGGCGCUUGCUCCUCUGACGUUAGCGGCGGACGGGUGAGUAACACGUGGAUAACAUACCUAUAAGACUGGGAUAACUUCGGGAAACCGGAGCUAAUACCGGCUAAUCUAUUCAACCGCAUGGUUCAAUAGUGAAAGACGGUUUUGCUGUCAAUUAUAGCUGGAUCCGCUCGGCAUUAGCUAGUUGGUAAGGUAACGGCUUACCAAGGCAACGAUGCGUAGCCGACCUGAGAGGGUGAUCGGCCACACUGGAACUGAGACACGGUCCAGACUCCUACGGGAGGCAGCAGUAGGGAAUCUUCCGCAAUGGGCGAAAGCCUGACGGAGCAACGCCGCGUGAAUGAUGAAGGUCUUCGGAUCGUAAAACUCUGUUAGUAGGGAAGAACAAAGGUGUAAGUAACUAUGCACGUCUUGACGGUACCUAAUCAGAAAGCCACGGCUAACUACGUG
RNAcentral lists this ribosomal RNA (497 nucleotides) under uncultured bacterium. RNAcentral describes it as "partial 16S ribosomal RNA". It matches the Rfam family "Bacterial small subunit ribosomal RNA", at positions 28 to 507 of the family's 1533-position model. The record is from RNAcentral.